RNAcentral lists this ribosomal RNA (301 nucleotides) under uncultured bacterium. RNAcentral's name for it is "partial 16S ribosomal RNA". It matches the Rfam family "Bacterial small subunit ribosomal RNA", at positions 509 to 808 of the family's 1533-position model. The record is from RNAcentral.
CAGCCGCCACGGGAAUACAGAGGGUGCAAGCGUUAAUCGGAAUUACUGGGCGUAAAGCGCGCGUAGGUGGUUUGUUAAGUUGGAUGUGAAAGCCCCGGGCUCAACCUGGGAACUGCAUCCAAAACUGGCAAGCUAGAGUACGGUAGAGGGUGGUGGAAUUUCCUGUGUAGCGGUGAAAUGCGUAGAUAUAGGAAGGAACACCAGUGGCGAAGGCGACCACCUGGACUGAUACUGACACUGAGGUGCGAAAGCGUGGGGAGCAAACAGGAUUAGAUACCCCUGUAGUCCCUGUCUCUUAACA